UACGGAGGGUGCGAGCGUUGUCCGGAAUCACUGGGCGUAAAGGGCGCGUAGGUGGCCCGAUGAGUCAACGGUGAAAGCUCGAUGCUCAACAUCGAGUCGGCCGUCGAUACUGUCGGGCUGGAGCACUGUAGAGGCUCAUGGAAUUCCGGGUGUAGCGGUGGAAUGCGUAGAGAUCCGGAAGAACACCGGUGGCGAAGGCGGUGAGCUGGGCAGUAGCUGACACUGAGGCGCGACAGCGUGGGGGGCAAACAGG
RNAcentral lists this ribosomal RNA (253 nucleotides) under uncultured bacterium. Its description in RNAcentral is "partial 16S ribosomal RNA". It matches the Rfam family "Bacterial small subunit ribosomal RNA", at positions 524 to 776 of the family's 1533-position model. The record is from RNAcentral.